This 71-nucleotide transfer RNA is filed under the name Paramuricea clavata. It matches the Rfam family "tRNA". Rfam says of the family: Transfer RNA (tRNA) molecules are approximately 80 nucleotides in length. Their secondary structure includes four short double-helical elements and three loops (D, anti-codon, and T loops). Lineage: Eukaryota; Metazoa; Cnidaria; Anthozoa; Malacalcyonacea; Plexauridae. The record is from Rfam by way of RNAcentral.
GCGUUGGUGGUUCAGUGGUAGAAUUCUCGCCUGCCACGCGGGAGACCGGGCUUCGAUUCCCCGCCAACGCA